UUCCAAGGCAAAAAUCUGAGUUGAGUCCCCAUUUGAUUCAGGUUCUUGUAGGCAGAGCUAACUGUGAAGACACCUUUUGCUAUGAUGAAUCCACCUAAGAGUGUCUUCUCCCUCUUUCAAUCCUCGAAAAUGGUCCAGGGUGCCAUAAUUCAGCUAGUCUAUCCACCUCCAAUCAUGAGUUUUGACUUCAUUUACUAGGGAAAUUAUG
RNAcentral lists this unclassified non-coding RNA (208 nucleotides) under Hevea brasiliensis (rubber tree). Lineage: Eukaryota; Viridiplantae; Streptophyta; Magnoliopsida; Malpighiales; Euphorbiaceae. The record is from RNAcentral.